Molecule: non-coding RNA, 993 nt
Organism: Pelobates cultripes (western spadefoot toad)
Lineage: Eukaryota; Metazoa; Chordata; Amphibia; Anura; Pelobatidae
Source: the annotation of a GenBank genome assembly
GUUUACAUUACGGUUAAUCCAGCCUCUAGUGGCUGUCUUAUUGACAGCCACUAGAGGCGCUUCCGCGCUUCUCACUAUGAAAAUCACAGUGAGAAGACACAGACGUCCAUAGGAAAGCAUUGGGUAAUGCUUUCCUAUGGACUGAUUGAAUGCGCGUGCGGCUCUCUCCGGUGAUUUCCCCAGCGCAGAGAGGGCCCGGCACUGGAGAAAGGUAAGAAUUUAAACCUUUCCUCCACCUUCAGCCAAGCGGGAGUAGGACCUUGAGGGUGGGGGUACCCAAAGACCCUAUAGUGCCAAGAAAACUAGUUUGUUUUCCUGGCACUAUAAUGGUCCUUUAAUAAAUUGCAGAUGCUCAGCAAAGCAAAAAAAUACCUAAACAUAAAACGUUUCCAUAUUCUUUAGGUACAGUUACAUAUGCUCAAAAUUGCCUCACCUUAUCCAACAAUAAUGGACAAACCUUCUACACAUUCUGAUAUGUCCGUUUAACCACCAACCUUUCCCUUUGCCUAUUUGAUUAGUAGUCAAUGAGAUCCAUGUUUAGUGCCCCCUCAAUGACACAGCUUUCCAGACCGUUUUUCCUACUUAUUUAUAGAAAACGCUUCAAAUAAUUCCUCCUGCCACCUACUAGGAAGUGUUUUUCAAAUUACUAUACGAGCUGCAGUUCUCAAAAAGGAUUAUCUAUGCAAGACAAAUGCCCCUGAAGUGAUUUACUGAAAGCUUGCUACACUGCUUGUGGCAAUGUAUGGCUAUUCAAUCCAUUGAGUCUAAAAUUAAAGGGACAUUACAGGUACCAAGACAACUUCAGCUCAUUGAAGUGGUCUGGGUGCAUAGUCCCAAGUCCCUUGACCCCGCAAAGGUAAUUAUUCCAGUUUUUAAUAAACUGCAAUAAUUACAUUGAGGGUUAUCUCCACCUCUAGUGGCUGUCUAGGGGCACUACACAACUAAAUACAACUUUUUCCUGGCACUAUAGUUUCCAUAUAAAGCAAGCAUGCC